GACGAACGCUGGCGGCGUGCUUAACACAUGCAAGUCGAACGAUGAAGAAAAGAAUCGAAGCUUCGGCAGAAAUUCAUUUCGGAUUAGUGGCAGACGGGUGAGUAACGCGUGAGCAACCUACCUCUUACAAAGGGAUAGCCUCGGGAAACCGGGAUUAAUACCAUAUAACAUUGCGACGAAGCAUUUCGAUGCAAUCAAAGCUACGGCGGUAAGAGAUGGGCUCGCGUCCCAUUAACCGGAUGGUGAGGUAACGGCUCACCAUAGUGACGAUGGGUAACCGGACUGAGAGGGUGAACGGUCACACUGGAACUGAGACACGGUCCAGACUCCUACGGGAGGCAGCAGUGGGGAAUAUUGCACAAUGGAGGGAACUCUGAUGCAGCGACGCCGCGUGAGUGAUGAAGGAAUUCGUUUCGUAAAACUCUGUUCUAUGGGAAGAAAAGGACUGUACCAUAGGAGAAAGCGCCGGCUAAAUACGUG
This 480-nucleotide ribosomal RNA is filed under the name uncultured bacterium. RNAcentral's name for it is "partial 16S ribosomal RNA". It matches the Rfam family "Bacterial small subunit ribosomal RNA", at positions 28 to 507 of the family's 1533-position model. The record is from RNAcentral.